Molecule: ribosomal RNA, 584 nt
Filed under: Geotrichum sp. HNC-2
Lineage: Eukaryota; Fungi; Ascomycota; Dipodascomycetes; Dipodascales; Dipodascaceae
Description: eukaryotic LSU rRNA
Rfam family: Eukaryotic large subunit ribosomal RNA
Source: RNAcentral
UGCAUAUCAAAAGCGGAGGAAAAGAAACCAACAGGGAUUGCCUUAGUAACGGCGAGUGAAGCGGCAAAAGCUCAAAUUUGAAAUCGGCCACCAGGUCGAGUUGUAAUUUGUAGAUUGUAUCUUGAGAGCGGAUUAAAGUCUGUUGGAACACAGCGCCUUAGAGGGUGACAGCCCCGUAAAAUCUAUUCUCAUUGUAAGAUACUUUCGAAGAGUCGAGUUGUUUGGGAAUGCAGCUCUAAGUGGGAGGUAAAUUCCUUCUAAAGCUAAAUAUUGACGAGAGACCGAUAGCGAACAAGUACUGUGAAGGAAAGAUGAAAAGCACUUUGAAAAGAGAGUGAAAAAGUACGUGAAAUUGUUAAAAGGGAAGGGUAUUGAAUCAGACUUGGUGCUGUUGUUCAACUGUGUUUCGGCAUAGUGUACUCAGCAGUACUAGGCCAAGGUGGGGUGUUUGGGAGUGAAAAAGAAGUUGGAACGUAACUCUUCGGAGUGUUAUAGCCUACUUUCAUAGCUCCUCAGGCGCCUCAGGACUGCGCUUCGGCAAGGACCUUGGCAUAAUGAUUCUAUACCGCCCGUCUUGAAACACG